Ctenopharyngodon idella (grass carp) is the source of this 451-nucleotide long non-coding RNA. RefSeq lists it as uncharacterized. The record is from RefSeq and is a predicted model, not a curated record. The transcript has 3 exons. NCBI's taxonomy places the organism in Eukaryota, Metazoa, Chordata, Actinopteri, Cypriniformes, Xenocyprididae.
CACAACCAGCAAGCUCCUCAGACGAAACCGAGAAUUCCGAGCAUCCUUCGGCGCGGGUCCCAGCUGAGCCAGAAAAGAGCAUCGGACAAUGCAGGUGUGGACCCAAAAGGUGUGCCGGUGCAUUUCGGGACCCCACAGGGAGCACCCAUGCCCACAGGUUAUCCGCAACAGGGAGCAAAACACGAGAUCCCUUUGCAUCUGUGCUACCCACUGUUGCUGCAGAAGCCCCAAGCCUCUUGUCCUUUGGCACAGAGAACUCAGACCAGGUCCCACCUGACCCGGAAAAGAGCAUUGGACUCCCACGAAGAUACUCACCUGUCUCCAGCGUGCUUCCUCGUUCCCUCUUGUUCUCCUCGUCUCCAGUGAGUUACUCUGUGUCUGAUCUGCUUCAAGUCUGCCGGCUUCCUGUCAUUCCUGCAAACACAAGACAAGUAUCAGCUCUACGAUCACA